RNAcentral lists this ribosomal RNA (404 nucleotides) under uncultured soil bacterium. RNAcentral's name for it is "bacterial SSU rRNA". It matches the Rfam family "Bacterial small subunit ribosomal RNA", at positions 26 to 426 of the family's 1533-position model. The record is from RNAcentral.
AGAUUGAACGCUGGCGGCAGGCCUAACACAUGCAAGUCGAGCGGUAGAGAGGUGCUUGCACCUCUUGAGAGCGGCGGACGGGUGAGUAAUGCCUAGGAAUCUGCCUAGUGGUGGGGGAUAACGUUCGGAAACGGACGCUAAUACCGCAUACGUCCUACGGGAGAAAGCGGGGGACCUUCGGGCCUCGCGCCAUUAGAUGAGCCUAGGUCGGAUUAGCUAGUUGGUGAGGUAAUGGCUCACCAAGGCGACGAUCCGUAACUGGUCUGAGAGGAUGAUCAGUCACACUGGAACUGAGACACGGUCCAGACUCCUACGGGAGGCAGCAGUGGGGAAUAGUUGGACAAGUGGGACGAAAGCCUGAUCCAGCCAAUGCCGCGUGUCGUGAAGAAGGUCUUACGGAUUAG